This 1338-nucleotide ribosomal RNA is filed under the name Hypoxylon investiens. RNAcentral describes it as "partial large subunit ribosomal RNA". It matches the Rfam family "Eukaryotic large subunit ribosomal RNA", at positions 91 to 1116 of the family's 3401-position model. The record is from RNAcentral. Lineage: Eukaryota; Fungi; Ascomycota; Sordariomycetes; Xylariales; Hypoxylaceae.
GAGUGAAGCGGCAAUAGCUCAAAUUUGAAAUCUGGCCCUCGUGGUCCGAGUUGUAAUUUGUAGAGGAUGCUUUUGGUGCGGUGCCUUCCGAGUUCCCUGGAACGGGACGCCAGAGAGGGUGAGAGCCCCGUACGGUUGGACGCCUAACCUAUAUAUAGCUCCUUCGACGAGUCGAGUAGUUUGGGAAUGCUGCUCUAAAUGGGAGGUAAAUUUCUUCUAAAGCUAAAUACCGGCCAGAGACCGAUAGCGCACAAGUAGAGUGAUCGAAAGAUGAAAAGCACUUUGAAAAGAGGGUUAAAUAGCACGUGAAAUUGUUGAAAGGGAAGCGUUUGCGACCAGACCUUUUCCAGUGAGGAUCAUCCGGUAUUCGUACCGGUGCACUUGUCCUGGAUUAGGCCAGCAUCGGUUUUCUUAGGGGGAUAAAGGCUUGGGGAACGUAGCUCUUCAGGGAGUGUUAUAGCCCCUUGCGUAAUACCCCUCGGGGGACCGAGGACCGCGCUCUGCAAGGAUGCUGGCGUAAUGGUCGUCAACGACCCGUCUUGAAACACGGACCAAGGAGUCGAACAUUUGUGCGAGUGUUUGGGUGUUAAACCCUCACGCGUAAUGAAAGUGAACGUAGGUGAGAGCCCUCACGGGUGCAUCAUCGACCGAUCUUGAUGUCUUCGGAUGGAUUUGAGUAAGAGCAUAACUGUUCGGACCCGAAAGAUGGUGAACUAUGCGUGGAUAGGGUGAAGCCAGAGGAAACUCUGGUGGAGGCUCGCAGCGGUUCUGACGUGCAAAUCGAUCGUCAAAUCUGCGCAUGGGGGCGAAAGACUUAUCGAACCAUUAAAACCAGCGGUAAAUUCUUAAUUUACUAGGUGGUUAAGAGGUCCCCUGGGAGGGGGGCCUAGGUCUAAUGUGCCAGUUUACCCUAUAGCUACCCUACAGCUACCCUAUAGCUACCCUGCAGCCACCCUGCAGCUACCCUAUAGCUACCCUGUAGCUACCCUAUAGGCACUUUGGAGCUACCCUAUACCUACCCUGGAGCUACCCUGUAGCUACCCUGGGAGGAGGGUACCCUGGAGUGCUGGCGCGGCCGACACCGCUAAAUUGCGGGAAAGUCCUAGAAAAGGCCGCAGGCUACCGCCGGGCGUUGAAAAACGCACCGGCACCAAGAAUAGCGCUCUUGGGUACGGUAAAAACGCCUGUGGUAGCGGACGACCUGCAGCCAACCCCGUUAGGUGCGAGGGGAGAGUUCACUGACUAAAUAGCGGUGGGUUAGCGUGCUCGCUAGCCUAAGACAUAGUCGAUCCGGCGCCUGAAAAGGCGCCUACCCUAUAGGUGUUUACCCUAUAGAUA